GAUGAACGCUGGCUACAGGCUUAACACAUGCAAGUCGAGGGGAAACGACGGGGAAGCUUGCUUCCCCGGGCGUCGACCGGCGCACGGGUGAGUAACGCGUAUCCAACCUGCCUCUGACUGAGGGAUAACCCGUCGAAAGUCGGCCUAAUACCUCAUGGUAUCGUCUGCGGGCAUCCAACGACGAUUAAAGAUUUCAUCGGUCAGGGAUGGGGAUGCGUCUGAUUAGCUUGUUGGCGGGGUAACGGCCCACCAAGGCUACAAUCAGUAGGGGUUCUGAGAGGAAGGUCCCCCACAUUGGAACUGAGACACGGUCCAAACUCCUACGGGAGGCAGCAGUGAGGAAUAUUGGUCAAUGGGCGAGAGCCUGAACCAGCCAAGUAGCGUGCAGGAAGACGGCCCUAUGGGUUGUAAACUGCUUUUAUGCGGGGAUAAAGUGAGGGACGUGUCCCUCAUUGCAGGUACCGCAUGAAUAAGGACCGGCUAAUUCCGUG
RNAcentral lists this ribosomal RNA (491 nucleotides) under uncultured bacterium. RNAcentral describes it as "partial 16S ribosomal RNA". It matches the Rfam family "Bacterial small subunit ribosomal RNA", at positions 28 to 507 of the family's 1533-position model. The record is from RNAcentral.